CCUACGGGAGGCAGCAGUGGGGGAUAUUGCACAAUGGGGGGAACCCUGAUGCAGCGACGCCGCGUGGGUGAAGGAGUGCUUCGGCAUGUAAAGCCCUAUCGGCAGGGAAGAAGCAAGACGGUACCUGACUAAGAAGCCCCGGCCAACUACGUGCCAGCAGCCGCGGUACUACGUAGGGGGCGAGAGUUAUCCGGAUUCACUGGGUGUAAAGGGAGCGUAGACGGCUGUGCAAGCCAGGGGUGAAAGCCCGGGGCCCAACCCCGGGACUGCCGUUGGAACUGCAUGGCUGGAGUGCGGGAGGGGCAGGCGGAAUUCCUGGUGUAGCGGUGAAAUGCGUAGAUAUCAGGAGGAACACCGGCGGCGAAGGCGGCCUGCUGGACCGCGACUGACGUUGAGGCUCGAAAGCGUGGGGAGCGAACAGGAUUAGAUACCCGGGUAGUC
Molecule: ribosomal RNA, 441 nt
Filed under: uncultured bacterium
Lineage: Bacteria
Description: partial 16S ribosomal RNA
Rfam family: Bacterial small subunit ribosomal RNA
Source: RNAcentral